GACGAACGCUGGCGGCGUGCCUAAUACAUGCAAGUCGAACGAAACUUUCUUACGCCGAAUGCUUGCAUUCACCGUAAGAAGUUGAGUGGCGGACGGGUGAGUAACACGUGGGUAACCUGCCUAAAAGAAGGGGAUAACACUUGGAAACAGGUGCUAAUACCGUAUAUCUCUAAGGAUCGCAUGAUCCUUAGAUGAAAGAUGGUUCUGCUAUCGCUUUUAGAUGGACCCGCGGCGUAUUAACUAGUCGGUGGGGUAACGGCCUACCAAGGUGAUGAUACGUAGCCGAACUGAGAGGUUGAUCGGCCACAUUGGGACUGAGACACGGCCCAAACUCCUACGGGAGGCAGCAGUAGGGAAUCUUCCACAAUGGACGCAAGUCUGAUGGAGCAACGCCGCGUGAGUGAAGAAGGUCUUCGGAUCGUAAAACUCUGUUGUUAGAGAAGAACACGAGUGAGAGUAACUGUUCAUUCGAUGACGGUAUCUAACCAGCAAGUCACGGCUAACUACGUG
RNAcentral lists this ribosomal RNA (510 nucleotides) under uncultured bacterium. Its description in RNAcentral is "partial 16S ribosomal RNA". It matches the Rfam family "Bacterial small subunit ribosomal RNA", at positions 28 to 507 of the family's 1533-position model. The record is from RNAcentral.